UGAGGAAUCUUCCGCAAUGGGCGAAAGCCUGACGGAGCGACACCGCGUGAAGGAUGAAGCCUUUGUUGGUGUAAACUUCUUUUCUCUCGGAAGAUAAUGACGGUACGAGAGGAAUAAGGGGCGGCAAACUUCGUGCCAGCAGCCGCGGUAAUACGAAGGCCCCAAGCGUUAUCCGGAAUUACUGGGCGUAAAGCGUCUGUAGGUGGCUUUUUAAGUCUUACCGUGAAACUUCGGGGCUCAACCCUGAAUU
Molecule: ribosomal RNA, 250 nt
Filed under: uncultured bacterium
Lineage: Bacteria
Description: partial 16S ribosomal RNA
Rfam family: Bacterial small subunit ribosomal RNA
Source: RNAcentral